GAUGAACGCUAGCGGGAGGCUUAACACAUGCAAGUCGAGCGGGAGGGGUAGCAAUACCCUGAGAGCGGCGCACGGGUGCGUAACGCGUAUGCAACCUGCCUUAUACAAAGGGAUAGCCCAUGGAAACGUGGAUUAAUAUCUUAUAGGACUUAUGAAUCGCAUGGUUUAUAAGUUAAAACUACGGUGGUAUAAGAUGGGCACGCGUCUGAUUAGGUAGUUGGUAGGGUAACGGCCUACCAAGCCGACGAUCAGUAGGGGUUCUGAGAGGAUUACCCCCCACACUGGUACUGAGACACGGACCAGACUCCUACGGGAGGCAGCAGUGAGGAAUAUUGGUCAAUGGGCGAGAGCCUGAACCAGCCAUCCCGCGUGCAGGAUGACGGCCCUAUGGGUUGUAAACUGCUUUUCUACUCCAAGAAACCCACCUACGUGUAGGUGGUUGACGGUAGAGUAGGAAUAAGCAUCGGCUAACUCCGUGCCAGCAGCCGCGGUAAUGCGGAGGAUGCAAGCGUUAUCCGGAUUCAUUGGGUUUAAAGGGUGUGCAGGUGGGAAUGUAAGUCAGUGGUGAAAUACUGCCGCUUAACGGUAGAGCUGCCAUUGAUACUGCGUUUCUUGAGUAUGGUUGAGGUAGGUGGAAUGUGUUGUGUAGCGGUGAAAUGCAUAGAUAUGACACAGAACGCCGAUUGCGAAGGCAACUUACUAAGCCAUUACUGACGCUGAGGCACGAAAGCGUGGGUAGCGAACAGGAUUAGAUACCCUGGUAGUCCACGCUGUAAACGAUGUUCACUCGCUGUCUGCGAUACACA
Molecule: ribosomal RNA, 806 nt
Filed under: uncultured bacterium
Lineage: Bacteria
Description: bacterial SSU rRNA
Rfam family: Bacterial small subunit ribosomal RNA
Source: RNAcentral